This 2057-nucleotide long non-coding RNA is filed under the name Bemisia tabaci. RNAcentral's name for it is "lncRNA ENSSSA3NGG002942". Lineage: Eukaryota; Metazoa; Arthropoda; Insecta; Hemiptera; Aleyrodidae. The record is from RNAcentral.
CACAUUCAAAGUUGCUAACACUAUGACCGAUCUCUCACAUUUGUACCAAAUUUGUUCUCCUACCUAUACCAACUUCAAGAAAUGAGUUUGCUGCCAUUUCUGAACUCCAUUAAUAAAUGAACUAGUCACUAAAGAAGGGAAGCAUCUCUGGCAUAUUGUGGAAAUGCAAGGCUCUGAUUCACAAGUACCUCCAUGGACAGCUGUAAUUCUGGACAGUUGGUUUGCAAACAAAGAAAGAUCCAUAUGCAGAUUUCCUCCUACCAAAGCCAAUCCCACAAAGAAAGCGAUGCAAAGGGACAUUCCUAGGGAUGACUGGGAAUUAUAUCAAAUCACCAGAAUUUUUAAACCUAGUUUUGAUGACUUUCAAGUAGCUAUGACCGAUGCAAUCCGCUUCACCCAAGGGAAACGGUCAAAAGCUGAGUCUGAGAAAGAUACGGGGAAUGGUCUUCGGAUUAAAGAGUCCAAAAGAAUAGUGUCUUCCUCAGAGGCAGCCAGUCCGGUAGAACAGACUCCGGAACGCCCCAAGAGAUGCACCAAAAAUAUUGUGAAACCACCCAUCCCCGAGUUCACACCACAAUCGAUACCACCAAUACCGCCCAUUUUUUCAGAACAGAAUAGCAGCGUAAUUUUCGAUGAAAAUGAAUCUGACAAAUCUCAGAUGCAGUCAGCGUCGCCAAAAACAGUAAAAGCCAAAAAGCCAAGUACAAAAAAGUCUGAGAAGUUUUUUUGCCCAUUAAAAAAAAGCAAGAAGCACAAUUGUGCCUCGAUGAAAGCACCCACAACUCUCCAAGAGAUGGCUAGUGCCCUGUGUGUGCUCUCACGUAAGUGUUACAGAUUUUUAAGUGUCUCUCUUUUAAAUGUAAAAAAUCAUAUGAAUCUGGUUCUAAAUUUGUCAAAACAAUAACUGCCCGGUCCUAGUUGCAUCAAAAUUUUUCUCCACUCAAUCGUAACAUCCCUUUCUUUUCCUCUCAAUAAUGAGAAUUUCAUUGUACAAUUUCAUUCUCAAUAAUCGAAAAACAAAUUUGAAGUUUACAGUUACAAUAUUUUUUUAUUGGAAAAAUGUUAUUUACCGGAUGAACUCUGGCAGGAUCGCUGAGAGUGGCGCUUUUGAGUCGCAGAGCGCUCUGCAUAAAAAAGCGUCAUUUAUGUGUAUAUAACUAUAUUCAAAAAUUUUUUUUAGCUCUACACAUUUUCUAUGAAUCAUUUGAAAGCCCAUCGUUCCUUUCCUCACUGUAGGAUAUUACUAUGUUUCCAGUCAUGAAAUCUUUUGAAGUUACAUUUUUAUAUUUCUUUUGCAGGAGAUGUCCAAAGACUACGAGAGCUGUUUGAAAAGACUUCAUCUACAAUCAUCUCUUUAUUAGAGGAACUCAAAAAAGACGAGGAGUCAAGCGAAUCCGAGAAAGAAGAGACAACUAAGAAGAUUGAUGAGGUCCUGAAAGACGCACCCUUCAAACUAUGGAGGAAUUUUCCAUUGGGUAUCUGUUUAUUUAGCCACGGCUCAUUUAGCCACGUGGCAAACUGCAACAAAAAUGUUGCAUCUUGCCACAGAUUUUAGGUGCUAUGUGGCUAAAUGAAACAAGAAAAAUUAGUGUGGCAAACGUGGCAAAGUGCAACAAAUUAUGUUGCAGUUAGCCACGUGGCCAAAGGAUAAAACCAAAUAUCUACAUUGCAGCGUUACCGAACUUAUUCGAAAAGAACUUGUCCUAACCUAACCUAACCUAACCUUACCUAACCUAACAUAACCUAAACUAACAUUACCUAACUUAACCUUACCUAACCUAACAUAACUUUACCUUACCUAAUAACCUAAUCUAAGGAAGGAGAGCUGGACGCAUGUGGUCAAUAAUUCCUCCGGAUACUUUCCUACUAGUAGAUUUUCAUGUAUUUCAGCGUAAAGUAGAAUCAGCAUUUCAUUGGUCACUAGUGGAGGAUGGUAAAAUCAUUAAAAUAAAAAUAAAAUAAAUAAAAAAUAAAAAUUUUCAAUACGAAUGAUGUUAAUAUUUUUAAUCUAUUCCAGAUCUUCAAUAAAAUCACUUACACUACAGUAAAAUAAAAUG